CUCCUGGGAAGCCCUGGGCAGGGCUCAGAGCACCAGGUGCAGCAGCGAUGCAAAUCCCAGCCCAGCUCCCUGGUUAACUUCUGACCCCUGCAAGGCUCCCUCACCAGCUGACAGGGAGGACACUGGGGUGCUGGGGAGAUGCUCUCUCUCUCUCAUCCCGUGAUGGCAUCACUGUUGCGGAUCCUCUCCUUUCUUUCCCUCUUCACCCCAGGUGUCCUGUCUCAGAUCCAGAUGGUCCAGUCUGGCCCAGGGGUGCUGAAGCCUGGAGAGACCCUCACCCUGACCUGCGCUGUCACUGGAGAAUCCAUCACUACAAGCAGCACAUACUGGGAGUGGAUCUUGCAGUCUCAGUCAGCAGGACUGAAGUGGAUGGGGCAGAUUAGCUUUGGUGGUGGCACAACCUACAACUCAGCUCUGCAGAGCCGAAUCUCCAUGUCCAGGGACACUGCCAAGAACCAGCUCUCCCUGGAGUUGCGUUCCUUGACAGCUGCAGACACUGCCACAUAUUACUGUGCCAGAUGCACAGUGACACAGAGUAGGAGAGAGGCUGCACAAAAAGGGGAAGCAGGUCCAAAACAGACAGCAGUGUCAAAUGCUCCUCUGAGAAGGGAGAGUGACUGUAAGAACAAGAGUCAAAGGACCAAAGCCUGGAGAAACCCCUACCCUGCCCCCAGGAGGAAAUGGUCCCCUUUCCCAAAGCACAGCCAGCUACUGCCUAUACCCAAGAACCAGCUGGUCCUGCUAAGCCAUAGGAAGAGGCUAGGAAUCACCAAACUUGUCACAGGGGCACAUUAGACCCUAAAUAACCUUCUCAGUCCUGGCAGAGUGAGGCGCCUGCGCCUCGUGACUGCAGCUUUCACUCACCCAGCACCCCACAAGCAGAGCAGGGCCCAUCUCUCCUGCAGGAAAAGGCAUUGAGCCACAGCCACAAACCACCACAGCAGGAACCAGGGCCUUCCCCGCUCCCCCAGCUCCCUCUCCUGUCUCAACCCUCCACCCUGACCAGGUGCUUGUAGCAGGUGUUUGGGGAAGAGGGAGUCCUGAGCCUCUGAAAAAACACCUGGUGCAGGGCAGCAGCUGCCAGAAAGGUCCUGGGGACCCUGGGAACAGGGAUGACAAUCCCUCUGGGGAGGGGAUCUUUCCCUUGCCCAGACAGGGGCUUCCUGGAACUCAACCCUUCAGGGAGAUUUGCACCCAGACCCACAGUCAGGGGUCUCUGGGCCCAGGCCAGUGCCAAGGCCCCUGAACCCAACUUGCCUGAGCUAGCAGACACCUGCUGUGAAAAUGGAGAGAGCCCAGUCAGCUGUGCUCAUGCUGGGUAGGGA
Alligator sinensis (Chinese alligator) is the source of this 1325-nucleotide non-coding RNA. Lineage: Eukaryota; Metazoa; Chordata; Crocodylia; Alligatoridae. The record is from the annotation of a RefSeq genome assembly.